AAAGAUAGUGAAGAUAAGAUUAUAAGUGCUAUAAGCUAAGGCCUCUCGAGCUCAGAACCCACAGCAAGAAGAAGCAAAGAGGAAAAUGGCCUCGGCCUCUGCAUCUUUACUCAAGUCAUCAUCCCCCGUUCUUGACAAGUCUGAGUGGGUUAAGGGCCAGGCCAUCCGCCAGUCUACUGUCUCAGUCCGCAGCCUCCCCAGUGGCCCCUCUGCCCUCACCAUCCGUGCUGGUUCCUAUGCCGAUGAGCUUGUCAAGACCGCGGUAUGUUUCAAUGUUUUACAUCAUUUUACAAGCUUGCAUGCCUUUAAAUAGAGUACCCUUUUGAUAAAAUAUAGGACAAUUGUUGGAAAGUUUAAGUUGUUUGUAUAGUUUGAUUGAUACCUAGAUGAAACCAUGAAUGAGUAUGUUGUACUUUUAUGACAAAACUUAAAUAAACUACUGCAAGUUUUAUACGAUAAGGUUGUUUGAGAGUUGUUGCAAUAAAAAGUAGCUUUGCACUUUUGCCGACAGACUAUCUUGAAAUAUAGUAAAAGUUGUAAAAGACCUUUGCAUGCAACCCUAUAGCUUGUAUCAAGAUGUAAAAUGUAGAUUAAAGUUGCAAAGAAUGAAAGAAGAUCAUUGUUCUUGGCUGCCAAUUAGUUGUCUUGUUAUAGCUACAUGAAAUAUUAAUUAAGUUAAUUUUGUUGGGCGAAUAGAAAACUGUUGCAUCACCAGGACGUGGAAUUUUGGCCAUGGAUGAGUCAAAUGCAACUUGUGGAAAACGCCUUGCCUCAAUUGGGUUAGAGAACACUGAGGCUAACCGCCAGGCAUACCGUACCCUCCUUGUUACAGCCCCUGGUCUUGGACAAUACAUCUCUGGUGCCAUCCUUUUUGAGGAGACUCUCUACCAAUCCACCACCGAUGGCAAGAAGAUGGUUGAUGUU
This 924-nucleotide long non-coding RNA is filed under the name Citrus sinensis (sweet orange). RNAcentral describes it as "long non-coding RNA (CSIN_LNC003411)". Lineage: Eukaryota; Viridiplantae; Streptophyta; Magnoliopsida; Sapindales; Rutaceae. The record is from RNAcentral.